Molecule: non-coding RNA, 30 nt
Filed under: Mus musculus (house mouse)
Lineage: Eukaryota; Metazoa; Chordata; Mammalia; Rodentia; Muridae
Source: RNAcentral
UGGGAUUGUAGACGUGAGCCAGCACACCGG